Physeter macrocephalus (sperm whale) is the source of this 1825-nucleotide RNA transcript. It is a transcript of the gene named SURP and G-patch domain-containing protein 2-like, with no coding region annotated. The record is from RefSeq and is a predicted model, not a curated record. The transcript has 3 exons. NCBI's taxonomy places the organism in Eukaryota, Metazoa, Chordata, Mammalia, Artiodactyla, Physeteridae.
ACACUCUUCUCUCUCCUCAGAAACCCCAGGACUUUGAUUUCGCCCAGCAGAAACUGACCGACAAGAACCUGGGGUUCCAGAUGCUACAGAAGAUGGGCUGGAAGGAGGGCCACGGCCUGGGCUCCUGCGGGAAGGGCAUCAGGGAGCCCGUCAGCGUGGGAACUGCCUCGGAAGGGGAGGGGUUGGGUGCCGACGGGCAGCAGCACAAAGAAGACACGUUUGACGUGUUCCGUCAGAGGAUGAUGCAGAUGUACAGACACAAACGGGCCAACAAAUAGCUGUCGGUUGGAGUGCUGAAGCUCUUUAAACAAGUGGAGGUACUGGAUUCGAUGAACGACCGUGUUAUUUAUGGAGUCUCAUCUCUUAAAUGCAUCCCAAGAGACUUGACGAAAUUUCAGCAAUGUAUUCAGCAGCUGUAUUCAGUGGGGAGUAAUCAUUACACCGAUGAAACUUUCCCCAAAUUUACGUGUCUCUUAGAAUCCACAAAGCAAACUACAGUUGUUUUUUUUUAAACAACAUAUGGAGUCUCUCCUACAAAGGGGUGGGAGGUGUAAACUCUUCAAGACUCUUCAUUUUUUGCAUGUGUGGCAGUGUAAAGAAUUGUUUUAUUAGGGCCUUUGUACAGAGCAGAAAGGAUCCUCUUGGGGUGGGCUCUGCAGCUGUUUGCUAUUUCAAGGCAUAUGAUUGCCGCCCCUUCCAGCUUCUCGCACUCUGCCUCUUGCAACUACAUGCGAAAUUCUCAGGCUGUGGGAAUCUCUCAGCCCUUCCUCAUAAAGCAGCAGUGUUGAAGUUUUAAAUACAUGCUAAAAUCUGGAAAACAGGAUCCUGCUGAUACUAUAAGCUUGGGGGACACAGCAAUGAGUUACCCUGUCAGCCACUUGUUUUGGCUGUUAUGAAAUCCUUGCUUUCUCAAAGCCCGAGACCUCCUGGGCUGUAGUCCCAGGCUCUGGAUCUGUCUUGCCCACACUCACCAGCACAGCGUCACGGGCCUGUGCCAGCAUCUCACGUGCCCGCCUGAUGUUGCCCUUCUUCAUGCCACGGGUAGUCCCCAGGGCUCUGCUUGCUUCUGAUCACUUUUGUUGCUUUGGCAACUGGCAGAUCUUUAUGGCCAUGGACAUGCUGGAGGUUCUUCAGCAGAGUUGAAAUAGCCUGCAGGGGUGGUGUGGUUUGGGGGAACCACAGCUAUGGGGGUUCACCUCCUUUCUUUUCUAAUCUUUCCAACAGCCUUCCAUGUUGUCUGGGGGUCAGGUAAAGGGAUAGAACUCUGAGAACAGGGCCUCGAUCCCGCAUGGCCUUUCACAGAGCACCCUUUGGUGCUGAGUGAGGUGUGCACCCCCCAGCAUGGGUCCUGGCUCUUUUUUCAAGCAUAGCUUUGAUCAUCAUAUUCACUUUGUCCUAGUAUACUCAUUCUUGGCUUUCUCUGCUUUUAUUUAUAAGUAAAAUACUUUAGGAAUUCCCGGGGUUUGAGCCCUGUUCCCACAGCCUUCUGCCACUCCUCCUCCUGGGGGUGUCCUGCUUUGAGCUGACACUGUGAGCCUUUGGCAGUCGUCAAAGGGAGCACUUACUUCUUGAGCCUGGAAAGUCCUGUAAGCACUCAGGUGGCGCUUCUGUGGAGUUGGCAUUGAGGCAGUGAAGGCGUUGCGUGGGCCGGGGAGGAGCGUGGUGGUGCGUCCCUGUGCCAGCUGUCGGCUGGGGACCAGCGCGCUGCCCCUCUGUGCCCGCCCUUGCCCUCUCCAGCAGAGGCCGCUCUGCGGGGAGCACGCGUGAGAGCAAGUGCGAUGUGCAGUUGCAUAGCCUUGUCAAAGUCACAGUGUCUUUUCUGUCA